RNAcentral lists this ribosomal RNA (450 nucleotides) under uncultured bacterium. RNAcentral describes it as "partial 16S ribosomal RNA". It matches the Rfam family "Bacterial small subunit ribosomal RNA", at positions 354 to 796 of the family's 1533-position model. The record is from RNAcentral.
GUGGGGAAUCUUCCGCAAUGGACGAAAGUCUGACGGAGCGACGCCGCGUGAGUGAAGAAGGCCUUCGGGUCGUAAAGCUCUGUCAUCAGGGACGAAUGGCCGGUGGAGUGGAAAGCCACCGGAUUGACGGUACCUGAGAAGGAAGCCACGGCUAACUACGUGCCAGCAGCCGCGGUAAUACGUAGGUGGCAAGCGUUGUCCGGAAUUAUUGGGCGUAAAGCGCGCGCAGGUGGGAUCUUAAGUCCAUUUUGAAAGUUCGGAGCUCAACUCCGUGAUGGGAUGGAAACUGGGAUUCUUGAGUACCGGAGAGGAAAGCGGAAUUCCCCGUGUAGCGGUGAAAUGCGUAGAUAUGGGGAGGAACACCAGUGGCGAAGGCGGCUUUCUGGACGGUGUCUGACACUGAGGCGCGAAAGCCAGGGGAGCGAACGGGAUUAGAAACCCCGGUAGUCC